Molecule: microRNA, 22 nt
Filed under: Dinoponera quadriceps
Lineage: Eukaryota; Metazoa; Arthropoda; Insecta; Hymenoptera; Formicidae
Description: dqu-miR-11656-5p
Source: miRBase by way of RNAcentral
UGGGGAGGACAGAAGCAAAAGA